Non-coding RNA from Rhodocollybia butyracea, 92 nucleotides. Lineage: Eukaryota; Fungi; Basidiomycota; Agaricomycetes; Agaricales; Omphalotaceae. The record is from the annotation of a GenBank genome assembly.
ACCCUGAUGGUCUAGUGGUAUGAUCAUUCAGUAAUGUGACAAAAUGUUUAUCUCUGGCUGAAUGGAUGUGGGUUCGAAUCCCACUCAGGGCC